This 106-nucleotide ribosomal RNA is filed under the name uncultured bacterium. RNAcentral's name for it is "partial 16S ribosomal RNA". The record is from RNAcentral.
UGAGUAACCUGCCCUUAACUCUGGGAUAAGCCUGGGAAACUGGGUCUAAUACCGGAUAUGACUCCUCAUCGCAUGGUGGGGGGUGGAAAGCUUUUGUGGUUUGGUU